This 200-nucleotide unclassified non-coding RNA is filed under the name Hevea brasiliensis (rubber tree). Lineage: Eukaryota; Viridiplantae; Streptophyta; Magnoliopsida; Malpighiales; Euphorbiaceae. The record is from RNAcentral.
AAUACCUUUUUUUCAUGCUGGUGAUGAGAUGCUACGUUCAAAAUCACUUGAUCGUGAUUCAUACAACUCUGGAGAUUGGUUCAACAGGCUAGACUUCUCUUACAAUUCUAGCAAUUGGGGUGUUGGCCUCCCACCAAAGGAGAAAAAUGAAAGGCACUGGCCAUUAAUAAAACCAAGAUUAGCAGAUGAAUCCUUCAAGC